GACGAACGCUGGCGGCGUGCUUAACACAUGCAAGUCGAACGGAAAGGCCCUGCUUUUGUGGGGUGCUCGAGUGGCGAACGGGUGAGUAACACGUGAGUAACCUGCCCUUGACUUUGGGAUAACUUCAGGAAACUGGGGCUAAUACCGGAUAGGAGCUCCUGCUGCAUGGUGGGGGUUGGAAAGUUUCGGCGGUUGGGGAUGGACUCGCGGCUUAUCAGCUUGUUGGUGAGGUAGUGGCUUACCAAGGCUUUGACGGGUAGCCGGCCUGAGAGGGUGACCGGCCACAUUGGGACUGAGAUACGGACCAGACUCCUACGGGAGGCAGCAGUGGGGAAUAUUGCGCAAUGGGCGGAAGCCUGAUGCAGCAACGCCGCGUGCGGGAUGACGGCCUUCGGGUUGUAAACCGCUUUCGACUGUGACGAAGCGUGAGUGACGGUAAUGGGUAAAGAAGCACCGGCUAACUACGUG
This 468-nucleotide ribosomal RNA is filed under the name uncultured bacterium. RNAcentral describes it as "partial 16S ribosomal RNA". It matches the Rfam family "Bacterial small subunit ribosomal RNA", at positions 28 to 507 of the family's 1533-position model. The record is from RNAcentral.